Molecule: ribosomal RNA, 510 nt
Filed under: uncultured bacterium
Lineage: Bacteria
Description: partial 16S ribosomal RNA
Rfam family: Bacterial small subunit ribosomal RNA
Source: RNAcentral
GACGAACGCUGGCGGCGUGCUUAACACAUGCAAGUCGAACGAAGAGCGAUGGAAGCUUGCUUCUAUCAAUCUUAGUGGCGAACGGGUGAGUAACGCGUAAUCAACCUGCCCCUCAGAGGGGGACAACAGUUGGAAACGACUGCUAAUACCGCAUACGAUCUAAUCUCGGCAUCGAGGAUAGAUGAAAGGUGGCCUCUACAUGUAAGCUAUCACUGAAGGAGGGGAUUGCGUCUGAUUAGCUAGUUGGAGGGGUAACGGCCCACCAAGGCGAUGAUCAGUAGCCGGUCUGAGAGGAUGAACGGCCACAUUGGGACUGAGACACGGCCCAGACUCCUACGGGAGGCAGCAGUGGGGAAUCUUCCGCAAUGGACGAAAGUCUGACGGAGCAACGCCGCGUGAGUGAUGACGGCCUUCGGGUUGUAAAGCUCGGUUAAUCGGGACGAAAGGCCUUCUUGCGAAUAGUGAGAAGGAUUGACGGUACCGGAAUAGAAAGCCACGGCUAACUACGUG